AUCGACAUAGCUCAAUGGCAGAUGCGUUAGUCCCAUACCUGAGAACAAAGAAUCUCGGGGUCAGCUGAAGGUUGCAAGUUCGAAUCUUGCUGUCGAUC
This is a non-coding RNA of Knufia fluminis, 98 nucleotides long. Lineage: Eukaryota; Fungi; Ascomycota; Eurotiomycetes; Chaetothyriales; Trichomeriaceae. The record is from the annotation of a GenBank genome assembly.